This 1028-nucleotide ribosomal RNA is filed under the name Exiguobacterium acetylicum. RNAcentral describes it as "bacterial SSU rRNA". It matches the Rfam family "Bacterial small subunit ribosomal RNA", at positions 59 to 1056 of the family's 1533-position model. Lineage: Bacteria; Bacillati; Bacillota; Bacilli; Caryophanales. The record is from RNAcentral.
CAGUCGAGCGCAGGAAACUGACGGAACUCUUCGGAGGGAAGGCAGUGGAAUGAGCGGCGGACGGGUGAGUAACACGUAAGGAACCUGCCUCAAGGAUUGGGAUAACUCCGAGAAAUCGGAGCUAAUACCGGAUAGUUCAACGGACCGCAUGGUCCGCUGAUGAAAGGCGCUUCGGCGUCACCUUGAGAUGGCCUUGCGGUGCAUUAGCUAGUUGGUGGGGUAACGGCUCACCAAGGCGACGAUGCAUAGCCGACCUGAGAGGGUGAUCGGCCACACUGGGACUGAGACACGGCCCAGACUCCUACGGGAGGCAGCAGUAGGGAAUCUUCCACAAUGGACGAAAGUCUGAUGGAGCAACGCCGCGUGAGUGAUGAAGGUUUUCGGAUCGUAAAACUCUGUUGUAAGGGAAGAACACGUACGAGAGGUAAUGCUCGUACCUUGACGGUACCUUACGAGAAAGCCACGGCUAACUACGUGCCAGCAGCCGCGGUAAUACGUAGGUGGCAAGCGUUGUCCGGAAUUAUUGGGCGUAAAGCGCGCGCAGGCGGCCUUUUAAGUCUGAUGUGAAAGCCCCCGGCUCAACCGGGGAGGGCCAUUGGAAACUGGAAGGCUUGAGUACAGAAGANAAGAGUGGAAUUCCACGUGUAGCGGUGAAAUGCGUAGAGAUGUGGAGGAACACCAGUGGCGAAGGCGACUCUUUGGUCUGUAACUGACGCUGAGGCGCGAAAGCGUGGGAGCAAACAGGAUUAGAUACCCUGGUAGUCCACGCCGUAAACGAUGAGUGCUAGUGUUGGGGGGUUUCCGCCCCUCAGUGCUGAAGCUACGCAUUAAGCACUCCGCCUGGGGAGUACGGCCCAAGGCUGAAACUCAAAKGAAUUGACGGGGAACCCGCACAAGCGGUGGAGCAUGUGAUUUAAUUCGAAGCAACGACAAGAACCUUACCACUCUUGGCAUCCCAUUGACCGCUUGAAAAAUCCAGUUUUCCCUUUGGAAGACAAUGGUGACAUGUUGGGUGCAUGGGUGUUCUC